ACUAGGUAUCCGCGUCAAGCCGGAACCAUGUAUAGCAGCUCCUUGUGUGUAGGGAGAAAGUUAAAACUGCCAUCUAAGGGUGUCGAUGGGAAGACUAAAAGUAGGCUCACCCACCUGCUGUGAAGCAGCGCGCGCGAGCUGUUACUAACAGUAGUGAAAAGCCGGGAUCCCUGCCCCCGAGGCACGCACUGGGGCGCCGGCUGACCCAGAGACCUGAGGGAGACUCAUUGCCGGAGCUGCACAGCCUGUGGGGCUGGAGGGGAACCGUCGCCCUUGGCGGGCUUCCCCAACCGCCAAGGCCUGAGGACCGCCGAGGGCGUGGCGGGAGCCUGUCCUCGGUUUUACAGGCCGGCUGGGGAGCUGCGUUGGAGGAGAGAGCCAGGGGCUGGGGCCCGGUGAUGGAGCCUGCCUUGGGGAGUGCAUGUGUUGGAGAGAGGUGGGAAGCAGAUAGGAUAACCCUGACCUGAGCCAUGGAGACGCAAGGACAGGACUGGUAGACGGGUCAGUGGGCAGCAACUUAAGACUGACCUCGCUUGAGCCUUUGCCUGCGAACGAGGUAUAAUACCCACCUCGGGGGCUUGAGGAUCAAAUGAGGGGCUCCACCCACGGCAAAGUGUCACUAAGCGGGAUGGAGGAGGAUGCAGGAAGAGGAGUCUGGGAGGACCCGCUCUGAAAAGGAUGGAACUCGAGAGCACCAUUUUCAGGGACGAAGAUAAGCUGUUUAUUUGGGGCAGGCUGUGGGGAGAGCUGUGCAGCAAACAGCCACCCGGGGCCCAGGGCAGAGGCCUUCCAGGCUGGCUCGGGCACUUCUGGGUCCCAUGUCCCUGGUUUUGCAUCAUCCAUACCAAUCACUCCAUGUUGCUAUGUUCCUUCACCAGAAGACUGGGGGCUC
Molecule: long non-coding RNA, 892 nt
Filed under: Homo sapiens (human)
Lineage: Eukaryota; Metazoa; Chordata; Mammalia; Primates; Hominidae
Description: HSALNT0406489
Source: RNAcentral